Long non-coding RNA from Paramormyrops kingsleyae, 1331 nucleotides. RefSeq lists it as uncharacterized. The record is from RefSeq and is a predicted model, not a curated record. Lineage: Eukaryota; Metazoa; Chordata; Actinopteri; Osteoglossiformes; Mormyridae.
AAAUGUCGGCAAACUGUCAGCUGCGUUUCACAUUGAAGGUGCAUAGGAGGGAGGCAGCAGCAGCCCGCCGGCGGCCUCAAGCAGCGGCGCUGUGCUCGCGAUGCGGCCGCUGGUGAACAGAUGGCGCUUGUUUUCGCAAACACGGCUCAGGCUGACUGACCUGGCUUUGCAGGCCAGAUCCUACUCCUAGGCUGCUGGUGUCAGUUUGAAUCCCGCUCCAAAAAAACUGAAAGGUUCUGCAAGAUUGACGUGUAAGCAGCAGCCAUCACAGGUUAAAAAUGAUACUGACCCAUAUCUUCCUGGGUCAUUAGUCGCUAGUCAGCUGAUGGUGAGCAAGAGCGCCGUGGACAUCCUGUACCAUCCCGCAGCUGGCAGACCCAGGCCGCGUGAUUUACGACCGUCCGGUGCAUCUGCGGCUUUUCCCAGCGCCGCUCCGACAUCAACACGGCUAUUAAGUUGUCAGCUUCCCCACUGCUCCUUAUCCUAAUCGGGAGGCAAUCAUUGCCUUAAUACGCUGUGCUCGGCUAGAUGAGUUAACUUAGACAGCGGUGACCAUUUUUAUUAAGCAUCGGGAUCUAGCUAGGGACCGUUCAUUUUGCAUUGCGAAAAAUAACCAUUCAGGGCUGAAUAUUUCAGCCACCCGAAAUAUCUGUGGCAAAGAUACUCUGAAGCGGUUUCGAAGUCGGCAGAAAACAAUGACACUUUCCCGUCGGUAGUCGUCACUAAAGCCGGGAAGGUAUCUUAAGUGAAAUCUAGUGGUUUAAAAGUGAAUUAAAUGCUCUUAAACGGCUUAAAUCAACACCCAUAUGUAAAUAAAGGUCCUCGGUGAAUGACUGCGUAUAAAAUUAUACAAUAUUUAACUAGAGAUUUGUAUACAAAGUUUAUUAUUCGUCAUCAUUUAUAUAGAUUGCUUUUAAUGUUCUACUAAUAUAUACACUUCAUCCUUUCAUGCAACAUCAUCUGCAAUUAGAAGACAUUGUACUCUAAACUAUGUUCGUUCUAGCAAUCAGCCGGCAGGGCUAAACAAGGAUAAUUGGGCAUUGACAAAAGUGAAGAAAAUGAAAAGAUGUUGUAACAUCUUCCAACCAGUUUACUUUGGCAGCUUGAAGUCCUGAUUACACUGUUUACCGACUACGUAAUUUCUGAAUCCUUAACAAAACGGACAUGCAGCGAGGCAUAUAAUUAACAGACAUCGUGAAUCAUUUUGGUGAGCGUCUCUGUGCCUGUGUACGCGCGUGGGCCUAUCUGUAUAUAAUUUUAUUCUGAAAUGUGAUCAUAAUUUUAUUUUUGUAAUUUUUAACCAUUGAAAAAUGUGUUAGAUCUACAAUGAU